RNAcentral lists this ribosomal RNA (423 nucleotides) under uncultured bacterium. Its description in RNAcentral is "partial 16S ribosomal RNA". It matches the Rfam family "Bacterial small subunit ribosomal RNA", at positions 359 to 774 of the family's 1533-position model. The record is from RNAcentral.
GAAUCUUCCACAAUGGACGAAAGUCUGAUGGAGCAAUGCCGCGUGAGUGAAGAAGGUUUUCGGAUCGUAAAACUCUGUUGUGAGGGAAGAACACAUACGCGGGUAACUGCUCGUACCUUGACGGUAACUCAUUAGAAAGCCACGGCUAACCACGUGCCAGCCGCCGCGGUAAUACGUAGGUGGCAAGGGUUGUCCGGAAUUAGUGGACGUAUAGCGCGCGCAGGCGGUCCUUUAAGUCUGAUGUGAAAUCCCACGGCUCAACCGUGGAAGGUCAUUGGAAACUGGGGGACUUGAGUACAGAAGAGGAAAGUGGAAUUCCAAGUGUAGCGGUGAAAUGCGUAGAGAUUUGGAGGAACACCAGUGGCGAAGGCGACUUUCUGGUCUGUAACUGACGCUGAGGCGCGAAAGCGUGGGGAGCAAACA